GCCUGGAUAGCUCAGUUGGCUAGAGCGUGGUACUGAUAACGCCAAGGUUGCAGGUUCGAUUCCCCGCAUGGGACA
Non-coding RNA from Podarcis lilfordi (Lilford's wall lizard), 75 nucleotides. NCBI's taxonomy places the organism in Eukaryota, Metazoa, Chordata, Lepidosauria, Squamata, Lacertidae. The record is from the annotation of a GenBank genome assembly.